AUGUAGAAAUAUAUAUAUAUAUACAUAUAUUUGUUUAUGACCGGUUUGAUUAUGAACUUGUAUUUAUUUAUGGAUACAUUAAUCAAUUCAUUUCCAUUUUUGUUUCACCAUGUAUUGAUUUAUUUAUACAUUAAAUUAUUUGUUUAUGUACGAAUUUAUUUAUUAAUUAAUUUAUACUAGUAUGUAAGUAAGUCACAGUCCAUCACAUUACAUUAUAUUACAUGUCAUUUAGCUGACGCUUUUAUCCAAAGCGACUUAAAAUAAGUGCAUUCAACCAUAGGGUACAAAGUCAGAAGAACAAGAAACAAGAAAGUGCAAUUUCCUCAAAUAAGCCAAUUUACAAAUUGGUAUAGAUGAGUGGCGUUAUAAGUACAAUUUAAGUGCUACAAUUUGUUAGUCUUUUAUUCGAGGUAGAGUCUGAAGAGGUGUGUCUUUAGUUUGCGGCGGAAGAUGUGAAGGCUCUCUGUGGUCCUGGUGUCUUCAGAGAGCUCGUUCCACCAUUUCAGAGCAAGGACAGCGAAGAGUCGAGAUCUAGUCAAGUGUUUUGCUCUCAGUGAGGGAGGGACGAGCAGUUUUGCAGAUGCAGAGCGGAGAGUGUGGGUCAGGAUGUAGGGUUUGACCAUGUCCUGGAUGUAAGCUGGACCCGAUCCAUUUAUAGUAUGGUACGUGAGCACCAAUGUUUUGAACUGGAUGGGGGCAGCCACCGCCAGUGAAGAGAGCGGAGGAGUGGAGUAGAGUGGGAGAAUUUCGGAAGGUUAAAGACCAGUCGAGCUGCUGCAUUCUGGAUGAGCUGCAAAGUUCGAAUGGCGGUAGCAGGGAGACCUACCAGGAGGGAGUUGCAGUAGUCCCGGAGUGAGAUGACAAGAGCCUUAAUCCGUACCUGGGCAGCCUUCUGAGUGAGAAGAGGACGUAUUCUCCUGAUGUUGUGGAGCUUGUAUCUACAGGAUCAUGUUGUCGCAGUAAUGUUGGGAGUCAGGGAAAGUUGGCUGUCGAGUGUGACGCUGAGGUUCCUAGCAGUUAAAGUGGGCUGAAGAUGACGUCGGGUCCUGGGUCGGAGAAUCUUUUCCCGGAAAGAGAAGUAGUUCAGUCUUGUCGGGGUUGAUUUUCAGAUGGUGGGCGGACAUCGACUAGUUAGACAGGCAGAGAUCCGCGCCGCCACCUGGGUGUCCGAGGGAGGGAAGGAGAGAAUUAGUUGGGUGUCAUCGGCAUAGCUGUGGUAGGAGAAGCCAUGCGAUUGAAUGACAGCGCCGAGAGAGUUGGUGUAGAGCGAGAAAAGAAGGGGACCCAGGACGGAACCCUGAGGAACUCCAGUAGUAAGAGGACAAGGUUCCGACACAGAUCUUCUGCCAGGUUACCCGGUAGGUGCGGCCGUCGAGGUAGGACGAGAGGAGGGAAAGAGCAGAGCCUGAGACACCAAGUUCCUGAAGGGAGGGAAUAAGAACCUGGUCUUUGACUGUGUCAAAUGCAGCAGAGAGGUCCAAAAGGAUGAGCACAGAGGAGAUUGCUCUGAGACAGCAAGGAGAGCAGUCUCUGUGGAAUGGCCUGCAUUGAAGCCUGACUGGUGGGGGUCAAAGAGGUUGUUACGGUGGAGAUAGGAGGAGAGUUGGUCAAAGAUCGCACGUUCAAGAGUUUUGGACAAAAAGGGAAGAAGAGAGAGCGCUCUGUAGUUGUUUUCUUCAGAAGGGUUGAGGGUAGGUUUCUUCAGGAGAGGGUUAAUUCUUGCCUCCUUCAGAGAAUUGGGAAAACAGCCAGCUAACAGAGUAUUAAUGAUGAGACAGGUGAGGAAAGGAAGAAGGUCAGGUGCAAUAGAUUGUAGAAGAUAUGAUGGAAUGGGGUCAAGAGGUCAGGUGAUCGGACGGGCAGAGGUUACUAGGGUAAGAAUUUGGUUUGGAGACAGGGGGGUGAAAGAGGAAGGUGAGGGCGAUAGAGGUGAAGCCAGGUGGAUGCAAGAAGUAGGAGGUGAGUUCUCACUCCUCCAUUAAAAAAAAACUCCGCACAAGAAAAAAACUCCGCACAGGAAUAGACUAUAGUCUUAUAGUGCAGCGACUAGACACUUUAGACAAUGGUGCUCCCAUGAAGCACCAUUGUGAAUGUAGCUAACAUGAUGCUAACAAUGUACAAGAAUGAGCACAAUAUGGAGCGGCUGUGGAACCAACACACAGUGACACAAGCACUAGUCACUCUCUCUGCUCUGAGCCUCCCCUUACCCGUCCCUCUGCUCCCAGUCUCCCUCUCAAUAAUCCCAUUAUGUGUUGCAAUGACCUGUCAGUGUCAUUCAGUGUCGUUGUCAUGCCGACCUCCCUCCACAUGACUUGCCCCUGGGCUCUCUGCCAAUGGGAAUCCUCCAUGCUGAUUAGCCGGCAGUGAUCUCCUUUGGUGGAGCCCCGCCCACGCCAGGGGAGGUGCAGAGGCAGGGUGUUGAGGUGGGGGGUGAUGGGCAUGUGGAGGACACCUUCUGGCGGCCCUGGUUUAGGGUCACGGCGGUAAAGGAUGCGGCUUGUGUAAAACCUGCGCGAGAGUCCAUUGUCAUUAGUUUGCAUGUCUACGUUCUUACAGUCUUGGUAAUGUUAUAUCUUUAUACUUCAUGUUCUGUUCGGUGUAAUAUGUUUUUGCUUUUGAUUAAGGUUCCAAUUAUAAUAAUGUCAUGAUCAAGUUGCCAGGAGAACCGGGAACUGAACUCCCCACCUAAUGCCCGCGCUUCAAAUAUAGGGAAGCCAAAUUUAAAAAGGCAAAAUUUGUGUCUGACACAGUUUCAUUACCAUCUAUGUGUGAAAAUCUCUACCUUGCUCACUUCCGAAUUGCAAUCCUUUUUGAGGUAUUGUAACCAGAGUUGCUCCGAUUUAAAGAAAAAACAUGUUAAAAUGUAUAUCUAACUAUUGUCUGUAUCUGAAGGGACCAGAUCUUUUUAUUACUGAUCACUUGCCCUGGUUUUAGGCCAACUGACCAAUUAGUGUGACAUGUGAGCGGUUAUGGAUCCCAAACUUAUGAAUUCAGCUUUUUUAUCCCCAGGUAUAAGUUUCCUUUUCAAAUACUUUGCUUAAUGACUGUUCAUUUUUAAACUUUAUGUCUUGCCUUUAUUAGGAGAAUUAACGUUAUUUUUGAGAUUGUGGUUUUGUUUGUUCGUCUGCCAGCAAGAUUACAGAAAACUAAAUUGUCCUAUUUUCCUGAAACUUGUUGGAAGGAUAUCAAAGGAAAACCACACGUUUGAGCGGACUGGUUUGGAGGGAGUCUGCACUCUCCGAGAACCAUUUAGUUGUUUUUCCGAGGUGCAUCACUCAUGAUAGGCCUUUUCACUAUGGAUAUAGUGUUUUAGCCUUUAGUAGCUGGAUAUCCCCUCUUAAAAAGUCUGUGUAUCAGUGUUUACCACUGUUGUGGCGAUGUGUCUUCCAUAUCCAGUCUAACUUGUGACUUCUUUUGUUGCUUGUCCUUGUGCAUGGGCAACCAAAUUUAUUUUCUUGUGGGGAUUAUUGAAUUAACUAAUCUAAUCUAUAAUCUAAUCCAAUCCAAAACCCGACCAGGAUAGUAGUUUUGAAUGCUUUUUCUCCAUUUCGUCAGUCACUGACCGAGGGCUAAACCUUUUUAAAGAAAUAAUCCCACCUUUGUAUGCCAAUGCUAUGCAUUACAAUAGACUGAGACAUAGAUGCUGUAUUUUUGUAGUUCCCUGGACAAACAGAUUUUUCCAUUGGAUUUUAGAUUGUUGCUCAAGAUAAAACACUUACAAUUGGCAGGAGUAAAAAGCUGUUAUGUUCAGCGAAUUACAUCACAAACAGCGUUGGCCAAUUUAUUUGCUGUGCUUUAUUUGCGUCUUUUGCGUCAUUUGUGCCGCCUGUUGAAAAUUUGCUUCAUUCGCAGCCAUUUGCGUCUGUAGAGGCUAAACCUACGCUUUAAGCCACUGAGGCAUUUUGUCCGGAAACCUUAGUCGACGCGCCGCUGUUUGUCACGAAUGAAUGACAGUCCUUGUAGCCUUUGUGUUGUUUAGUCCAUUUAUUUUCCAACUUGCUCCUGUCACAGAUUUAUAAUACAUCCACCCGGAGAGUUACAUGAUACUACCCAGCGUGCGGUCAAAAACUGUUUUGCUAUUCCGGCUGGAAACACCUGCCGAGCCCCCAAUGGUUCCUACCCUAUAUAGGCUGACCCGCCCAUCAAUCAGCUCCUUACAUACAUCAUAAAUCGGCUCUUAUAGUGUCUAUGCUUUGGCUUUGCAUCGAAUCUACUUGUGCGAAUACUCCGCUUCACUUUUGGUGUGAACGUAACAUUAGAGAUAAGGUAAGGAGCUUGGACAUCUGGAGGGAACUUGGAAUUGAGGCGCUACGCCUUCUUGUCGAAAUCAGUCAGUUGAGGUAGUUCAGGCAUCUGACUACGAGGUUUUUCCCUACUGAAGGUUUUCUGAAAUCUGGGUCAACCUGCUGCCAGCGCGACCAACCUCGGAUAAGCAGAGGAAAAGGGAUGAAUAGGUGGAUAAUUAUUGAGCCGUAAUAGAAGGUGACUGAGAAAUACAAUUUCGAAGAUUGCUUUUCUGUAAUUGCUUGGAUAUGACAAUAAAUACGGUGAAACUUGAAGUAGCCUGUCACAACUGGAGACACUCUUGACCACUAAAAUCAGCUAAAUUCGGUGCAAAAGUGGAUGGAUUUUAGUGGAAAGAUUUGAUGGUAUUUUCUUUCCGAGUUGUGGUUUAACCUGACUUAGUGUCCUCUCAUAUCUUUAUCCUACGCGCCUGUAAACUCUCCUCCUUAGAUCACUAAAGAACUUGAGUGGAUAUGUUCAAUACUACAGUGCCGUUGUCUGUUGAUCUGCACUAAGCUCAUUGGCUAUAACACUCUUGCUUAGGGCUGAAGCUUAGCUGACAACAAUGGUAUAGGUACGCUUGUGUUGGAAAAAUAGCAAUAAUAUUCCACCAUACUCAGUAUUACUUACAGAAGGUCUGUGCUCUCUCACACAGAAGCACUUGUGUUCUGGGUCAUCUGAUAAUCAAGAUGUUUGUUUGUCAAUGUUUAUAUCUUGUGGUGUCAAAGCUGAUUGUCUACAUCGAAGAUUAAUUACCAUUUUUGCCCAGUGCGCCCUCUGUUUUAGCAUGUGUAACGCAUCACAGGAGGCAGGAGUCGACCCUAGCGCAGAGCGCAGAUUUAAUUAACAAAGGGAGUAGGCUAGUCAUAUCCAGUAAACAGGCAGGAGGUCAAAAUCCAGGAGCAGGUACAUAGGCGAAGGUACCGACAAGGAUCAGGCAGGAGGCAACGAGAUCUGGAACAAACAAGGAGUCUUCAACAAGAGGCCAAACAGGAGAUCAGAAUAACGCUCAGAUUGUGAUGGUAAACUACAAGACUUCGCAAGGAACGCAAAGGAAUCAGGGGAAUAUAUACAGACCACCUUGAUGGGUAACCAGACACAGGUGUAAGUAGGGAAUUGCCGUCCUUGGAUGGAUAUGGAUUUCUCCCACUUAUCUCCCCAAAGAGGGUUUUUGGGGAGUUUUUUUCUCCUGUAGUAGAUGAGCAACUGAAUGCAAGACAGCCGAUUGAGGCGAAUGUCUUGAGUAUUGGACCACAUGAACUGUAUUAGAUCUUGUGAUGUAGUGUGAUGAACUAUGGUCAUUUAUGAUGUGUUGUAAUUAAAGUGUACUAGUUAUACGAUGAAGACAAACUAUGCAUGCUUUGUUAUACUCACUCAUUGAGGCAUAAAGCCAUAUGUAUCUACAUUGAAUGUCUUGGAAUGUGAGGGACAGAUAGGACAAAGAAGGUCUCAGGUUACAGCUGCAGCUUCACACCUCGGCGUAAAGGGGACAAUCCAGGAGGAGACACGUUUGAAGGAGUAGCCAAUGACGUUGAAAUGCACCCAAGAAGACACACCCCAGUAGUUUUCAAAUUCGCGAAAUAUUUCACUGUACGCAUUGUAUUUCACUUUGUAAUCGUAUUCCUUAUCACUUUGUUUAGUUAUUAAAUACUUUUUGAUUUUUAAAUUUGAACAAAUUGACUCUUUUGAUUCAUCGUUUCCUGCCGGGACGAGAACAAAGGAGUGAGGCUUCCCUCGAGGGCUUUCCGAACCCUUAACAACGUGCAGGAAAAGCAUAUAUUUUGCGCAGAUAUCUUAAUUUACAAAUAUUACCGGGUAUAUAAUCCACGUUUCAAAAACACAAAUAUUGACUAUUUGUAAAAUGUAUUUUUAAUUUAAUAAACAACAAGAAUUAAAAAAAAUUUGGUCGCUCAUGGUGGGGCCACGCCCCGUUGCCCUCUAUGGACCAGCAGCCACUCAUUUGGCAAGUAACAUUACUUCUGUGAGUGACGCCAUUUUAACACAAAGAAUUAAAAUUAAUGAAGUCACAUUUCAAAUUUUUGUAAGGGGAUACAAUUCAUAGGGACAAUUUUGCGUAUAUUUCAAACCUUAUGUUUGAAGUAGCUGUGUAUUUAGACAGGUAGUGAGAGUGAUUUGUCCUCUUUAUCCUCACAAACAAGCUUCAAAGCAUAACAUUUAAUGUGCUGAAAUCUGAAUGUUGACAACUGCUCUCUCUUAAACUCAUUUAGGACAGUCUGAAUUUCAGGGCCAUCGUCUAAACUCAGUUAUCCCGACUACGGUCAGAUAAUUCAAGUCAGGCUACCCACCCUCACAUAAUAAAGGAUCCUGUCAGAUUAAAACCGUUCUGUGAGGAAAAAGCCACAACUGUUACUGACAAACAUGGACAUACCCACGGAAUACACUAAAUGAUGUAUUGAUUCAUAUACAUUUACGCCAAUAUUAUUAACGUACAAUUACGCAGUUAGGUCAUGGGACAUUUGGAGUUACAAGUUAGUCACGCACCAGCAGUGAGCAUGGCCAUUCAUAUAGAUAAUCUCUUUACUGUCAGUUGGCUGAUGCUAAUUGCGUUAGCUGCUGUCAACAGGUAUUUGGUUACAUAGGACGCCCCUCUAACCUACUUACCAGACAGAUUUGGUUUUCCAUAGAUACAAAAAUGAUGGUGACGUUCAUGGCCCAGCAAUAACAGCCACCAAAAAUGAUUAAAAAUCCAUUUCUGGAUUAGUGUUUUCCUUAUUUUUAUUUUAUUCUUAUUUUUUUAUCCAUUAGUGUCUAAGACUUCUUUAAAUUAAACAAAAACAAACACAAUAUUUUACCUACUGGAGGAACACAUAGUAGUAAUAAUACAUAAUAGUUUAGAGGAAAUAAGUAGUCUUGAGUCCACAAUAGGAAAUAAAGAUAAAAACAAUAACAAAAUGUAACUGACCUUCUCACCUGAUAUUUUAGAACGGUAGUAUUUUACCCCUAUUGUACACAAACCUAUACCUCAUCUGAGUGCCUGAGGUCUUUUGUUUGUGGUUUGUUAGUUUCACAAGCCUGUGAUCAUCAUAGUGGUCACAUAGGUCCUUUUGUCAAGUGAUAUCAAGUAAAAACAAGUGUUCUCACUCUGUGAAAUUGCUAUUAUGGGGUCUGACAUCAUCAAACAAUAAGAUAAUUGAGGUCAUUCAUUCCACAAGUACAGGUACACCAAAUUAUGCAAACCCACGUUGUUUAGCUUUGAAAUAUUCAACUUCACCACUUUUAAUGAAGAUGAAAGUUUAUACAGUUUAUACUCACCAUCUUUCUGUUCCCUUUCAGUCAGAACUAACACUUUUUGCAUUCGAGGGCACAAAGCGACGCAAACGUUCUACAAAUGCUACAAUUACUUGCCGCUGUGUUACUGCUCAACUCAAAAGCUUUGCUGCCAAUGAUGUGCAACAAGUCAAAUGUAUCCUGAUAAUGUUCAGGCCAAAAGGAACAACAUGAGGGCUAUUAAAAGUGAGCUGUUCUCCGACUCCCUCUCUCUUCAGACUGAGUACAGGGAUUAAUUCUACACUUCGGCUCCUACUCUUACUGAGAUCUGUCCCACUGAGACGGACCUACUGCUGAGGGUUCAAUGCACACACUUACACACACACACACACACACACACACACACACACACACACACACACACACACACACACACACACACACACGCACACACACACACACAGCAAUUAUCUCAGAGUGUGAACUCUAUAUUCAUUUCAACUGGGACAUUAAGGUUGACAAAACUGGCCUGAAAACACAGUUUUCUCCUCCUCCAUAGUUUACUUUUUCUCUUCAUCUCGCAGAGCGAUCUGAUCCGACAGGAGGCGGCUUUAAGUGUGUUAAACUGGUCCAUGAGUGUGUAUGAUGCAUCUGUGUGUUUACUUCUGUGACAACACUGGGUUUUGUUCUACCAAAGUUGUGGUUUUAUUUGUAUUUGGGUACAUACAUAUAUUUGUUUAGCUUUUAAUUGAGCUAAACAUUUUGUUAUUCGCGAGCCCGUUUUUAUGCCGGAAAAUACACUUUUGCAGCAUCAGUAACCUGAAUGCCAAAGCAGCAGACUGAAAUGAAAAGAAUUUCACAAUUAAACUCAAUGUUUUGCGGUGUCCAUAUGCAAUUCGCUAAAGGUUGGAACCAUUGGAAAUUCUCAAAACACAGUGGGCAUUGCCAAAAACUAGCACAGUAUAUGAGAAAUCAGCAAUAAGGUAUGAGAGGCUGUACUUUACCGUCCAAUAAUGUUCAGGGGUGUUGUUAAGCCCGACGCGCAGAGGGUCAAUGUGAACAGGUACUGUACAUUAUCGCUCAAUAAUGCACUCCCCGUGACUCACUCUCAACCAAUCAGAACGCUGGAUUUCAUCUACCUGUGUUAAAAACCUGUAAUAAGGCCUGUCUAUCUUUCUCACCUUGUGCUCAGUGUACACAACUAUUGAAUUAUUAUACUUUUAGGAGAUAUGGUGAAGCUGCUGUUGAAAUGGCAGCUUUUUUCUGCUAUAAGAGCGGUGGGAGAGAACCAAAACAGCGUAGUUGUGAGCUGGACAUACAUAUAAUUUUCUAUAUCAGUUGUUGCUGGUUAAAAACUAUAACACUUUCUCGCGGCCGUAAUUUUUACUUGUCAUACGGUGAUUUACGGCAACAAUGAAAUUGGUGCAUAAAUGCAGGUAGGCCACUACUGAACUCAAAUGACUGAACACCAAAAGUGUAAAACUGUAUGUAUUGCAGAUGUAUUUUUGCAGAAACACGGAAAAGGCAUAUAGGACGGUGACUGUUUGAUGAGCAAGAAAUGAGGGUCAGUUCAUCUCACAGUGACAUCGCAGGUGUCUAACAAUGCCGCCUUUGCGCUGUCUUUACAAAAUUCCUGCUAAUUAACACAUAAGCACUAAAUACAAAUAAGACUCAUAGACCCAGUAACAACAGGUUUGAGUGAGUGUACGACCCCCAGCUGCCGGAAAAACUGGCCCACAGUUUUCGAUGUGUUUCUCUAACAACUAACAAGACCAUGAGUACACUGGCCAAGUACCCCUCGGUUGCUGCUCUGUUGCUCACUUUUUUUGUUUAUUUUUGGAUGGUGUUGUUAGCUAAUCGAUAAAGCUAACAGCUACCUAACCGCUAGCAGUAACGGACAGCGCACACUGUGCUGUACGCCACCACCACUCAGUCACUGCUAAGCGGCCAGACUGCAUGAGUUUCUCAUUAAUUUGGCACGAUUUGUCUUCGGGCCCACAUGGCCUUUUGUUAUUUUAUACGAAUUAAGCCGGUUACAGCCAACCUUCAAUCGUUGUAAUUAUUAUUAGACCGUACAGCACUGUAUAUUGUAGACACAGUUUAUAGUAUUAUUUUGCUUUUACCGUUUGUUGCGACUGUAGUGGCUAUUGAGUUAUUUGAAGAAAACCAACCUUAAUGUCACGCUUUUUGUCCCUCUUUAUUCUACAAAAUGAGUAUGCAUCCAUCAAACUUUACGUUUUAAGGCAACACAUAUCCUCCAGGAUCACGGCCAUAGUUUUCAAACAUAAUAAUUACUGAGCCAUCUUUAGGCAACUAAGCUACAUGGUUAGGUUAAGUAAUGUAUCAAGGUUUGACCUAAGAAAUAACAAUGUUUAUUAUGCUAUUAUUCAAUUCAUCAAACAUAAUUUGAAAUGUAUGUGUUAAAUGCAUGACUCAAAUGCCACCUGGAAGAAAAUACCUUUCCUUCAAUGUGUAAAGAACAAUGCAGUUCCGUUGUACGCAAGAUAAUCUUUAGGAGACCAGACUGCCUUUUUAAUACCUCCCCUUACAGCAUUCGGCAACUCUCAUCUACUUUUGAGGAAAGCCACAGUGCCUCUCAAACAAGCAUAGUGUACACUAUCCGUGUGUGUUCAAGAUAGACUAUCCAUCGUGUGAGCAUGUUUUCACAUGAGCAGCAUGUGUGUGUAUCUGUGUUUGAAUGUUCUAAACUCCUAAUGUGCGUGUGUACAUGUAACCUUUGCUCCAGUGCUCUGUAUAAUGUGUUUGUGCCUGUAUAAGUAAUUGCUUGGUGUCUAUGGUCCCUGGAGUGCACGCCACUAGUCAAUAGAGGACAUUAUGUUGUGAGUUUACCCAUAAUGCCCCAGGGGACUGGCAGUUGAGUGAGCUCAUUGUGGUUUAACUGGUGUACUGAGUGGCCACUUGGGGAAAGAGUCAUAGAGAGAUAGUCAUUUACGUGUACUGUGUACGUUGAGUGGUCGAGAUUCACUUCACAUGUGAUUGUGAUUAUAUGUGUUUGCAUCCAAAGACAAAGAAAAGUAGAUCUAAUUAAAAUGUUGAGCGGAUGGAAUCUAUGCAGCCAUAGCUGUAUAACAACACAGGGAGGGGAAGAAGAAGACUGGGCAGGAUUUAAAAGAAGAUAAUUUGAUUUGUGUCCAUUGCUGUAUUAUUUUUGUCACAACUUCUCCAGUUGGAACCCAAAUGCAGACUAUGCGAGGUAGAUGGUGACAGGGUGAGUAUUUAUUGAACAAGGGGGAGUGGUAUUUCCAACGUCCAGACAGGUGAAUUCUGGUGAUGUCGUGAUGUGAGGGAGAGGUUCAGGAUGCCAGUGACCGGAAUCCAGGGUGAAUGAACCAAAGACGGAGGUAAAAGCAAUAGGUAAGUAUACAACCACUACAAAGAGUGAACAGAGAUUGAUUCGCUGUUGAGGCUGACACGCAAGCACACAUACGAAUAUGGCUAACGCUCCGGCAGGGACUGGAUGUCAGGUCUCGGCUUAAAAUACUGUUGUGACGAUGGGACCAGAUGUGUUGAUUGGGCACAGGUGGGAGCAGGCACCGGUGAUCCUGGUUCUCCUGCCUUGUCGUCGUUGCUCGGCAACCAGAACAAAUAGACAGACAAACAGGAAAACAUACUCAGGGAGCUGGGGUCGUGAACAUUUUUCCUAGUGCCAUUGCUCCGUACUGUGUAUGUACUGACCACCCAUAGUCUACAUUGUGAACUGACUAUUUGACCUGAAUGGGUUCUAGCCACUGCUUGAAGUGGUGGCCAAUAAUGGCGCGUUUCCACCGAGCGGUACAGUGCGGUACAGGUCGGGUCGGUACCCUUUUAUUUGUGUCUCCCCUUAAAACUGUACAUGUUUAUUACAUUCUUAAUUUUUUUACUUUUCUAUUAAAUGUCACAUUAUUUGUGCCAUUUUUAUUACUAUAGAUACUGAUAAAUCUCAUAAAUCAAGAAUCUUACUGUUAAUAAAAAUGUAUUCGGUGUAAUACAGCUAUGUAAUUAAUAAAGAAAUGCAUGCAGUCUUGGCAUAAAAACUAGUUACAUCGAACGCACCAGGAGAUGUCACAGGCCCAGAGGCGUGGACACUGCUUUCCACACCUAUUUCUGAUCUGUAUAUAUACAUGUAUGUGACCUUUGUUUGAGAUGUGUUGGUUAAAGUGAGAGACAGUGAACUACCUUGUAGUUCCUUCUUAUGUCCUGAGUUACUUCGUUUUUACUUCAAUCCCUUCAGAAAACCUCCUAUAAUGCAGCAGGGUAUGACAUUCUACGCCGCAGUCUUCUUGGUCCUUUGGUCUACACUAGGAAUAGACUGGGUCGGCAGCAAUGUGGUCGCCGCAGUACACAAGGAUCGAGGCCCCAAACUCUCAACUUGCAAUUUACCUUACAGUUGUUUUAUAAUUUGCAUAACAAGCACAUUUAAGAAAAAGCUAAUUUUACAAAAAAAGCAUACUUUAACACAUUAAGCAGUUUAGUGCGGAAGAAACCUAAAACCUAAUUAUAGCCAUGUGGAAGGUCCAUCCUGAAAAGAGACUGCAUCCAUGUUGUUGGUUUCAAUGUUUGUUUCAACCGGCCAAAUUUUGUUGGUCAAAAGUGUGACCAAAUAGUGGUUAUUGUGUGGUCUCUACAUCAACUUUCUGUUUUGAGCUAAAGCUUCAGGACCAAACCUCUAACUGAAAGUCAUCAAAGUUGCUAACCAUACAACUACAGUAUAGCUACAACACGCUACACAAAGCUUGAGUGCAGAAGAAAAGAAAACCCUCAAAAAGGGACUUUCAAUUGAUUACUUAAAAGAUCAGCACAAGGGAGACAAGUCUCAAUCCAAAGUAUCUGCCUGCUCUCGUCUCCACAUAGAGGACCGAGGUGGCAGAGAUUUCCAUCAGACUGAGUGAUUGGGCCAGAGGGGGCAGUGAGUCGGGUCUGUCCUAAUCCACUGAGGCUCUGAAGCAGGCUUCAGAUCCAAAUGUGGUCUCCAUCAGGUGCACAGACUGAUAGAAACACGAUUUAUAUACAGGAACAACAGCAUCGUCCUCCACCUCAUGUGCAGAAGGUUCAAUUAGCAGAGUUUCAAGUUCGUCUGAGUCUGACACAGUUUUUACUUUUCAGAGCUAAUGACUAAAGUGCGGACCACCUCCACUUCACAACUCCUAUCUACUGUAAAUAUCCGGGAGAGUAAAAGAAGACAUUUAAACAUAAAUCGUAAAGCAACAUAACUAAGAAGUGGACGGAGUGCUAAAUAAAUGCAAUUGACAUUGAUGACAUGGUAUGAAUUGUGUCCUCUCCCACCCGUGGGGUGAUGACAUCCCACACCUUGUUUUUUAGUCUCUCAGUUCUCUCUGAGGAGGUCUGAUUGUCUUUCUCUGUCUCAGCCUCUCGAAAACACUUGUGGGAAAUGUAUCCAGGGAUAACAAGUAUGUCAGGCUUUUUGAGAGAAAAGAGUAAUAAAAAGUAGGUUUAUUUGAUGCUGUAGAGAUAAAGAACACUACUACAAAGCAGGGCAUCUCUCUGUCCAUCCAUCUGCCAGAUACAAGAUUUACUGACGUCACAACCAAAGUCUGUAUCACAAACAGGUGCAAUGGCGGCCCACCUCCCCCUACAAACACUGUGGGAGCCGAGCGUACCAACGCUACCACCAAACUCUUCUUCACUUCCUUCCAGCAUUACCGGGGCCACGAGGAAAGAAAUUUAACGAAUAUGCAAAAUGUAAAACCGCCAUUCGUUAUAAGUCUUUUUCCGAAUAGUAAGAAACUUACAAACCAGGUUGUGGGGUAUUAAGGGCAGAAGACUUUUUAGAGGUUAAAAUCAUAGUAAUCUGGUGAAUCCAGUUUGGUAUUGAUUGCUUUAAACCAUCAUUUUAAAUAAUUACGUAGUAAAAUCGUCAUGUUUGUAGCUGCCAGAUAGAGCAAGUCAGUUUUACUGCCCCAAACACUCUCUUGCCACUGUCAGGUCCCCCUUCAGCUCUACGUAUUAUGUCAGUGUGUAAUGUGUGUUUACUUGGCAGUGAACCAGACUCCUUCACACAGCAGCCGGUUGGUCAGUCAGUUCUGUCACUGCUGGCUCCGAUCCAACGGCCUUAGCCAGCGGAACAUCCCGGCUCCAUCCUGCACGCACGCGCAUGUGCACACACAAACACACGCAAGCACACACAUCCCAUUCUAUAGAGGAGCAGGUAAUGUGCAUGUCCAUCCUUGUGGAUUGCUAUGUUUUUUUUGCCAGAUGACUAUUAUUAGCCCCUUGGCAGAUGUAUUUAUCUGCAUAAAGCUCCCAGGAUAGUGAUUAGUGUUGGUAUUUUAAGGGAGCUGAAGCUCGCUAAAGUUAGCCCCGUUCUUAUCACCUGCAGCAACAAAUACACAGAGAUCAGUGUGAUGUUCUUUUACAUUAUAAUGUAAAUAUAAUGUAAUAUUGACUUCUCAUGUUUUCUGAGAAGCUGUAACAUUUAGAUCUAUAUUUGAACAUACAAGUCCUGGUUGCUAAAUAAAACUGAGGAGACGGACCUGUGGCCAAAUGUUUCUCAUUUCCAAAGCCAACAGUUCUGACUGAGCUAACAGUGUUAACCUAGAGGGGCGAGUGGAGGGUGAAGGAUACUCCUCCACAACAGCAACAUGGGUCAGAGCGCAGUUAUAAGCUGUAACUAUGAGUGCAAUGCAGAGCGCAGCCAUGGGCUGGUCUGUGGGGCAUGCUAAUGUGUAUGUGCACUAAAAGGCAUUUGCGCGUUACCCCAGAUAUGUAAAUAAAGCAUAGAGAACAGACAUCGACUCCGGGGUCUUUAAGGUGAAGCCAAUGAAGAAGUGUCUUAAACAUGCAUUCUUUCUAAUGGCCAUUAGGGGACUACUGUAGUUAAAUUACAUGCAAAAUAAUUAAGAUUGUAUAGCAGUCUUGUAAAUGAAAAUGAAUUAAAAUGAAAACCAACCCUGCUUAUCACUUUAUUUGUCUUCCACAGUAAAGAUUAUACACAACAGUUUAUGUUCUCAGUCUCUAGUUUCAAGACUUCUUUGAUCCUAUAUGAUGUUCAUUUAUUAGAUUAUGGUCCAUUUAGAGUCAAAGAGAACAAACAAGGUAUGUUUUGGGAAUCUUUUGGGGACGUUUUACAUUACACAAUAAUGACUAUUUUUUGUUUUAGUUUUUAAUAUAUACACACAUAGUAAUGAUUCAGUGUUAGUGUCGAUCUGCAGAAACAAUAUAGUAAGCUUGUGAGUACUUUCUUUCAUGCUCAAACAAGGUAUUAUUAUUUUCUGGAAUUCUUUUCCAUAAAUGAAUCCCCUGCUUAAUGAGAUGAAUCAUGAUCUGUUUCUAAGCGUAUGUGUAUAUGUGUGUUUGUAAAUUUUUGGGACACUGAAAUGCAGAGAAUGUGUUUGGGACGAUAAGACUAAAAUUGAGGGUUUUAAGGACGCUGAAACCUCAACAAUAUGGCCGACAAUUUACACGGUUCAUUAGUUCUAAAGAUCAAGGAGUGUGUGUCCAGCCUGGAGCCCCACACGGAGCAAAGCCGCACACACACACGCGCACACACACACACACACACUCGCAAACACAAAGAAUCCUCCUUACACACUCAUCUAUGGGGUCAGAUCAGUCUCAAUAAUUGCAAAUGCGCACAGAGCGACUCACAAAUGUAUUCGAUUUACAAAUGCACACAGAAGGAUUUACAAGUAAAUGCAGUGUGACCCGCAGAUAUGAUUCGUAAUCCGCAAAUAACAAAAACAUUUGUGAAUUUUUCCGUGCGCUUUUGUGAGUCGCUCUGUGCGCAUUUGCAAUUAUUGAGACUGAUCUGACCCCAUCCACGCAGCCAGCCAUGUUAUAUUUUAACCAGGAAUCAGGAACAAUUAUUGCCAAAAUAUGUUGGACAUACAAGGAAUUUGACUUGGCGGUUGGUGUAUAACAUCAGACAGAAGACAAUGAUCAGAAGAAAGACUAACUGCAUUAUUUAUUAGUUAAAUCAAAGGUUGUAUCUGACAUCAAUUUUCUUCUAAUUUUACUAAAAACCUGUGUCUUUUAAUCUGAUUAACCGGUAUGGGUUGCUGAUAGACUUUAAUCAAAUCAAUGCAGAAAUUUAGUUUGCGUCUCAUUUUCUAUUCUGGUAAAGCUGCAAAGUAUAGUGUGUUUUUAGAAAUUCAGUUCAUUCCAGAUAUUUAAAUUGAAACAGAAUUUCAACACAAUGUUGCCAUAAUCUGAAGAGAAGAGGACUUUGAGAAACCAGCAGAAAGGAGAGAUGGAACGUUCCUAUAUCCUGGAGGAUUUGUCUCUCCCCUAAAAAGCAUAUGUGUGUUCUUCAUAAAGACGCAGUAAAGUAUCCUGAAUCCCCUAACACAGCAGCGUCACAACUGGAAUGUAACUGGAAUAUGUUCUCCCUGUGUCUUCGCUCCAUCAGUUAUUUACGUU
Long non-coding RNA from Gasterosteus aculeatus aculeatus (three-spined stickleback), 15888 nucleotides. The record is from Ensembl. Lineage: Eukaryota; Metazoa; Chordata; Actinopteri; Perciformes; Gasterosteidae.